UUUGCUGAAAAGGAAAAUUGUAGACUAUCUUCCACCAAAAGAAAACACUGAGGGGUACCUUCAUGCCAGUAAAGGGCUCUCUGUUAAAUUAAUGGAUCUACUCUUCCCCUGGCUCAUUUCUUAUUACCUCCCAUAAGAUAAGAUAAGAUUUCGUUCGGAUUUUUAACCCCGGAGGGUUAGCCACCCAGGAUAACCCAAGAAAGUCAGUGCGUCAUCGAGGACUGUCUAACUUAUUUCCAUUGGGGUCCUUAAUCUUGUCCCCCAGGAUGCGACCCACACCAGUCGACUAACACCCAGGUACCUAUUUGCUGCUAGGUGAACAGGACAACAGGUGUAAGGAAACGUGUCGAAAUGUUUCCACCCGCCGGGAAUCGAACCCGGGCCCUCCGUGUGUGAAGCGGGAGCUUUAGCCACCAGGCCACCGGGCCACUUUGACUCCUAUCACUGUAGUGCUUUUCCAAGAAUAUAAAGAUAAUUAAAACAAGAAAGCUUCCUCCCUUCAGUGAGAAUUAGCUCUGCUUCCCUUGUACAAUACUAAUGUUACCUAGUUAGUAUUAAAGAAUAUUUUUGAUACACAUUUGAUACCAAAGAUAAUGGAAACUAUUGAUAGUGUGGAUCAGUAGUGUGACAGUUAUCAGCUACUCUUCCUCCCUUAUCUGCAGUUGUGGAGGAUGGUUUCUCUCCCUGCCCUUCUUGGAUAGUGCAUGAGAGUGUCUUUGUAGGUAGUGGAUGGGGACUAAUAAGUGCUGAGCCCCAGUAAUGACCUUGGCUAGUUCCUUGAGUAUGACUUGGUUCUUGCUUCAAAGAUAAAGUUCUUUACUGAUGGGUCAGAGAGUGAGGGUAUAGUUGCCUUUGAGGCAAUCACCAGAAAGGACUCAUAUUAUGCAUAUUUACCAAGAGAGUCCUCUCUGUUUCUUGCAAUGCUAGAUCUGUAUGAUUCUUGCUUCUCUUGUCCUGAUUGCUGGUUUAGGUGGGUCCUGGUAUACUAUUUACUUAAAUUACCAGCGUACUCUGUUGACCCUGGUCCAGUAUGGUUCUGUCCACCCUGUGGCACAGAAAGUCCAUGUGAUUAGCCCAUAUCCAUGCCCAUCACAGGAAGGUGGAAUUCUGUUGGUGCCUGGGCCAUUAGGAGUUUAGAAAUUUAACAGAUGGAUGCUGAAGCAAAGGCUGUUUUUUCAAACUUCCCAUAAAUUUUUGCCUUGGGAAGUAGCAGGUGAUCUUUAGGAAAAAGCAACAAGUUAUACAGGGAUUGGCAAGACAUGGACAUUUGGACCCCCUCCAACAAGAAUUCUUACCUUGGGAUGGUCCUCUGUAGAUUGUGGAUUGGGCACACACACACACAACCCAAAGCCACCUGUUUGCAGGUGUCUUGUGGUGGGCAGUUGCCUGUGGUGUGCAUUUGAAAUAUUUUUCCACAGCCUAAGCUUUUUUGUUUAAGUCAGCAUUUUUAUAAUUUCCAGGGUGCAUGUAUGUAUUAACCCUUUCACUGUUGACACCCCUUCCAUAUUGAAAGCUUCCUUCUGUGUUGGCAUUUUUCAAGAAACUAAAAACAAUGAUUUUAUAUUCUAAAAUGGUAGAGAAUCUUUUUCUAGAAGUAAUGCAAACAAAAAUGCAAAAUUUGCUGUAAUACUUACAGAAUUAUGCAGGUCAGUGAGCACUUUAUGCAACAGCAAUUUCAGUCAGUUUGAACAAUCCCAAUACUCAAACUGACUCAGUUCUCAGCUGUUCAUUGAUCACAAGAAACUACCCAUUCAGCUUCAGGGUUAAGUGCCCAGAAUUUGGCAAUUUGGCCAGUUUUACAUUGUUUUUAAAUUAAAAUUUGUUGAAAAUAGAGUCCAAAACAAACACUGUACACAUUCUUGCCACAAAGGCAUCCUUCCUGCUGUUCAUUAAUUACAUCCCAGGCCUCUUCUAUAUAACACUUGCUGUUCAUUUUGAAUUCAUUGUUUUUCCUUAUUCCUUGGCUAAUAAACCAUAAUCAAAAAAUGCUGGGAGAUGGUUUAAGACAUCUCAGUAAUUGAAGCAGACCUAGUAAAAAACCAUAAAACAUCCUGGGGUCUCCUACCUUUUCCUUGGAAAAGUCUGAAAAUUGACCACUUUUGCCACCUUGAGGUCUAUUUCAGGCCACUUCCAGUCUUAAGCUGACAUAAGAUCCAUUUUAUUAAUACAUGGUCUGUCUAUUGACACAAAGGAGCAGAUAACAAAAUCAUGAAAACCACCCUAAAUUUGCUAUUUUAACCCAACAAGGUCAGGGGUUAGCUGUUCACACCAUGCAUUUGUGGGUCAGGAUUUCUUUUAUGCUCUGCACACCCACCACACAGACCCUUUCUCUCACGUCUAGGCCAAAAUUUGCCACUCAGCAAAUUUAAAGGCACUAUAAAUUGUGUGUAGAUCUAUGUGAGCAACACUGAUCCACUGAUGUAUAUCAAUGUGACCAAUAGUGAAAUAAUUAAAUUGCUCUUCCAAUCUCAAAAUUUCCAUCCACCAGCUAGCUUGAUUUGGAUUUUGAAUUGUUUUCAAUUAUUCAAUGUACAGUAUUUGUUGCUCCUAUUCCUGGUUUAUAAUUUUAUAUAUUUUCAAGCAUCUAAACAUCUAAUGCUAUAAAGCACAGUAUUUUAUUAGUAGGCAAUGUAUCAAGGCUUUUAAUUUUUUAAAGUGAUUGUUUAAAAAAAGAUAAAUUUGUCCUGAUUCAUAAAGCAUUCAUAAUAUAAUUUGCAAUGAAUACAUGAAAUUUGAGUUUGGUGCACUCUCAAAACCCUUACAAGAGUCUGGUGUGUUACAUGUAUGUACUUAAGACAGUCUCUUCUGUUGUACUGUAUUUUAACAUGAGAAGUUUGCAGUAGUUAGUAAUUGGUAUUUAUUGAACUAGUUCACCACAUUAACAAAGUUUUUAAUUUUAUUUUGAAAAAAUAGCUCAGUUAAUCUAGUGAGAGUUUACUGAUGUACAUCCAAAAAUAAUCAUUAAAAUUAUAGCUAAUUCUGACAGUGUGUGUUGGUUUAUUCUAGAUUAUAAAUUUUUCCCAGUUUUUUCAGUGUAUAGGCGUCUUUCACUUUAUACAAUAGAUGUGUCCCAGGUUCAUGGCAGUGUAGUAAGGUUACUCAAGCCAUCAACACUCAAUCUCAUACCAAGAAUCUUAAUACAUUUUGUGAACUACACUGAUUGUAUACAGCAAAUAAUUAUGUAUUAAACACACACAGUUAUCAAUAGAAACAGGACAUGGCAUAAUAGCAAAUUUGAAUAAGGCAAACCUGCAAAAAAGAAACAAUAGAUUUGCCCAUAAAAGGUAUUUAGUUUAUUAUAAACACUGUAAAACCUCAACAGGUAAAAUUGUACAACCUAAAAAUACAAUCAUACCUUAUAAAAUAUAUACAAUAAUUCAUAUAUAAAUUAUUUUUAUUUACUAGAUACUGAAACAUGAGUGCUGAUGUGGUGCUUGAGGUAGUCCUUGCGUGAAGAGCGGUAGGGACAGUGUGGACAUGAGUAGGGCCUCUCUCCAGUAUGUGUACGGAUGUGCCGCACAAGAAGAUAAUGGAAGUUGAACCAGGUCUCUGUUAUACCAAUAAUAUCUAUAUUACCUACACUUGCAAGUAAUCUUAGCUCAUCUAUCUGGCAGGCAGCCAGUCAGCCAAGCAACCAGCCAGCCAGGCAGCUGAAAAAUUUGUGCAUGAAUUUAAGGGGUACGUAGACUGAAAAAUUCAAACCCCAACAAGUGUUUAGCUGUGAUGAAACAGGCCUGUUUUGGAAGAAAAUGCCAAAGAGGACCUAACUCUUUUGUUCUGUGCUGGCAUCUUCUAGAUGCCAGCAAGUCUCUUCAAUAAAGGUGCCUCAAGUUGAAAUCCCCCAGAAGCAAGAUGUUGGGGGCAGGAGCUGGAGAUUUUCCAGACAGUGGUCAAUUUUUGACAGCUGUUCCUGGAAUUGCUGGGACGUUGCAUCCGGAGGCUUGUAGACUACCACAAUGGUAAUGGGUUUGUGUCAUCCAUCUUUGGUAUUGUUUUAAUGUCACCUUUGCACCAUUUAUAACAUUUUUAGUAUACAUAUAUUUAAAUGUUUAUACAGUAGUGAAUUGUAUAUUGUAAUAAACAGAACAGAGGAAAUCAGCUCUAAUACACAUUAUUUAGGUAUGUAAGUCUGAGUCACCGAUAAACGAGCACAUUGCUAAGUGAGGAGAGGCUGUAUACAAUACACUACUGUAUAAACAUUUAAAAAUAUACUAAAAAUGUUAUAAAUGGCACAGAGGUGACAUUAAAACAAUAUCAGAGAUGGUUGACACAAGCCCACUAACAUUAUAGUAUGCUCCUCACUUAGCGACGAAUUCAUUGACCAAUGUGGUCUUAGGAACAGAACUCUGUCAUUAAGUGAGGAGAGACUGUACUCUGGUACAUUCCCAUUUUUUCUCUUCGUAGAUAAGGUUCCUUAUUGCCACAGAUGUCUCAGUGCAUCAACUCCCUUUUUUUCCCCUCAUUAAUUAUAUGGUUCAACUCAUCUUUCAUUAACCCUUAUGCCAAUACAACCAUUCCCAAAUAUCUAAACACAGUUACUUCCUCUAUACUUCUUCCCUCUAAUCCAUCAUUACCUAAAAUUUUCCUUACUCUCAUUACCUUGCUCUUUCCUAUGUUCACUCAUAAUUUCCUUCUUUUAUAUAUCCUCCCAAAUUUAGAAAGCCUGUUUAUUGAACAUUACUGUAUCCUUAGAUUUAAGUACAGUGGACCCCCGACUUACGAUCAGCUCCCAACUCGAACAAUUAUGUAAGUGUAUUUUUUAAGUGCUUUUUUAAGUGUAUUUUUGGGGGUCUGAAACGGACUAAUCUAAUUUACAGUAUUCCUUAUGGGAGCAAAUUCGUUCGGUAAUGGCACCUGAACAGCCUUCUGGAACAAAUUAAUAUCGUAAGUUGGGGGUCCACUGUAUUUUGGUCUGCUGCUUGUCUUCUGUUUACCAUUGCUGUAUCAUUUCAUGUAAUGGAACAACUUUUGUCUUUCACAAAAGUAAAUCUUCAUCGUGUAGAAAAGUUACUUUGUUGUGUCUCAUAAAUCAUUUUGGUCAUCUAGAAUUUACAUGAAAUAGUCUUAUUCAGGUCUCGACUGUUCCACUCAUCACACAGAACUCAAAAACUCAUCAGUCUUUAUUGUCAGCUCAUUUACAAAACCUAUCAUGUCUUUUAUAUAAAAGCUACUAGGAAAUGACAAGACAAAAAUAUUUACAGUAUAUUAUUCUGAUUUGAUGCUAACCCUGUCACUGUUAGUUAAAUAGAUCUCCAUAAGUAGAAUCAGUGUUGCUUAUGUUGGUCUAUGCAUAAUUCAUAGCAGCAGCUGAGUUUUGGCUUAGGCAUGAGAGAAUGCAUCUGUGCAGUGGGUGUCUUCCCCCUAACAGUGCAUGAUAGGAAUACCUAACCUCUGACCUUGUGUUUGGGUUAAAAUAGCAACCUCAGGGCAUUUUCUAUAGUAGUUUUCAUGGUUUUAUGGGCUAUUUUGUGGUACCAGUAGGUAAACCAGACAUACUAGUGAAACGGAAAAGACUUUGGUCAGUUUCGUACCAGAAAUGGUUGAUUUUGGUUCAUUUGCUUGGAGAAGGGUAUGUGCCUCCCUUCCCCUUUAGUAUGUUUUAUGGGUUUUUGCUAGGUCUGCUGCAAUGAUUUCGAUGUUCUAUACUAUGACUAAGCAUUCUUGGUUAUUUUUUGAUGAUGAAUUGAAAAUGGAGGAAUAGUAUUAUAUAUGAAAGGCCUGGGGACAUGAUUAACAGAGUUGCUCUAGUGGCUGAUAUGCCUACAGUGUUUAGUUUAGACUCUUGUUUUUAAACUGGAAUUUGUCCAAAAAUAGUGUGCCUUAUAUGGUAGUUUUGAUGAUUGAAUGGGCAGUUUCUUAUCUCAGUAGUUCAGAAGACAUGCUAGCAAACCAACCAGGAAUGGGGUCGGGUUGAGCACUAGCAUUGUUUCAAAAUAUGCCUCAAAUUGAGCAAACUUGCUGUUGCAUAAAGCACUCCUGGCCUUAACUUUGCGUCUGUGUAAUUCCGUAAGUAUUAUAUCAAAUUUUGCAUUUUUGGUGUAUUCAUCUUUAGAAAAAGUAUUUUUUACCAUUUUAGAAGAAGGCAUGUUAUGAACUCCACUAUGUUUACACAUUCUGAUGUUAUUGUAUAUUAAAAAAAAAGCCACCUUCACUGACAACCUAUGAGGGGCUUCUAAAUGUACCAUGUAUACACACAUUAGGAUUGCUCCUGCACAUGGCUGAACCCUAAUAAUUAGCAGUGUAUUAUAUAAUGUAACACAAUUUUUUUUGCUCUGAACAUCUCGUGUAACUAUUUUUGCAACCCUUAGUAUGUAAAAUUGAAACAAGCAUUGAGUUGGUAAUUUAUUUCAUAUAGUGUACAUACUUUAAUUUACUCUAAAACAACAUAUCUGUUACAGGUGAAAAUCCUCUAGCUUAAUAUUAUAAUUAUGGGGGAGCGCUAAACCCAUAGGAUUAUACAGCACAUGUGGGGGGGGGGGUGGAGAUGGAAGGUAUUCAGGCUCAAUUCAGGGAACUGGAGCACAGAUCCAAUCCCCUAGAUCAAGAGCCCCUCACCAGCAUCAAGGAACCUCCCUUGAGGAGCUAGCCUAAUAAAGCAUACAAUUGCAUAAUAUACAUACAUUACACAAACUGUACAUCACCAUCACUUUGAUGCACUAAUUAGUUAUACGCAGCUACACUGACUAGCUUUUGUACAUUUCAUGAUCAUAACUAAAAUAAUUGUCAAAAUUUCAACAUUAUAAAAGCUUUUCAAGGAAAACAUAAAAUUAAAAAAGAACCUUACAUUUUAAUAAAUAAAAUGGAACUGUUAAUCUUUAAAGAUAAGAAGCAAAUAGAUUUUCUACAUUCAGUUUCUUGCACAAUUGAUCACACGGAGUUUCUAAACCACGUUUUCUUUUACACUUACAGUGGUCCCUCGAUAAUAGUCAGGCUCGAUAGUCGUCCUUUUCGUAAAUCGUCGCGUUAUUUUAGUCCAAACAUUGGCUCGCAAAUGGUCAGUUGACUCGCUAAUCAUCGUUCGUCCUGGAUGUGUACUCACGGCUCUGAGCCACCUCGGCCUCCCUUCCCAGCCAGUGUGCCAUUGUUUGCCAGUGAGCGACAGUCCCCUCACGUGUUCAUAUGAAAUAUUUCAUAAUAUUCCAUUCAUUUUAGUGCUUGCAAGUGCUAAAUAAGCUACCAUGGCUCCAAAGAAAGCUCCUUUGGUAAAGAAGGUGAGAAAUACAAUUGAAUUUAAGAAAAACAUCAUUGAACAAUAUGAAAGUGGCGUACAUGUGGCUGAACUGGCAAGGAUGUAUAACAAAGCCCAUACAACCAUAUCUUCCAUCGUGGCCAAGAAAAAGGAAAUCAAGGAAGCUGUUGUUGCAAAGGGGGUAAAUAUGCUGACAAAAACGAAAUCAACAGUACUCGAAGAAGUUGAGAAGUUAUUAUUGGUGUGGAUAAAUGAGAAACAAUUAGCAGGAGAUAGUCUUGUGAAAAGGCUAGGCAGUUGCAUGAUGAUCUGGUAAAGAAAUUGCCUGCAACGAGUACUGAUAUUGUGAAUUUAAGGCCAGCAAAGGUUGGUUUGAGAGAUUUAAGAAGCGUAGUGGCGUACACAGUGUGAUAAGGCAUGGUGAGGCUGCCAGUUCGGACAAAAUUGCAGCUACAAAAUUCGUAAGUGACAGAGUCUUGGCCCAUUUUAGGGAAGUUUUAAAGAGAUGCCAGAAACAGAGCUCUCUGGACACUUUUUUUUUGCAAGACAGGACUCCAGUGACUCUCAAGCUGAUCCUAGUGGCAUUAAGAAACAGAGAAGUAACCCCAGAAAAGGACUUGGUACCUAGGGUGUUGAUGGAAGGGGAUUCCCCUUCCAAACAGUAACUAAUCCAAUCUCUCUCCUCCUCCAGUCUUCCAUACACUAGGAAGAAUCGCCAAUAAAGGUAAGUGUUAUGCUGUUAAUGUUUCAUUCAUCAUGUCCCAUUGUAUUGUUUAUGUACUACAUCUAUAUUUCAUGUAAAAAUUUUUGUUUUAAUACUUCUGGGUGUCAGGAAUGGAUUAAUUGUAUUUACAUUAUUUCUUAUGGGGAAAAUUGAUUCGAAAAUCGUCUUUUUCAUUAAUUGUCACACUUCCAGGAACGGAUUAACGACGAUAAACGAGGGACCACUGUACAGUAUUUAAUUACAACUUAAUUUAAAACCUAUGCAUAUUGUACUGUAGAAUAAUAAUCAUGAAAAAGCACUAAACCCAACAGGGUCAUUUAGAGCUUCACAGCAAGGAGAAUGGGCCUUCCUUUUCCCAGGCAAUUUAUGAACCCCUAUGGGUUUUGUGCUUUCCCACAAAUAAAAUAACAAUGUGCCAAGAACUUCAGUAUCAACCCUUAAUCAGUGUUAAUUUAAAUUCUUUUUCAAAUGUUAAGUAAGUUAGCAGGUUGGUAGACAGUAACCAUCCAGGUACUACUCUCAUGCGAGUGUGAAUAAAGAUUUUUGCAUUCUGGCAGGAUUGCUGGUAUAUGUCUCAUGACUAUAAAAUAGCAGGCAAGUCUUACAUUCAGUACCGUAAACUUAAUUUUACUUUCCUGCAUAUUCCUUAACUUGUUCACUGUUCAAACGUAGAUCUGUUUGCUCGCCCAGCUCUUCGAAUAUUUAAAAAAAAAAUAAAAAAAUAAUAAAGAGGGCAAUUUUCUGUGUAAUAAGACCAACAAAAAUUUUUUUUAGGCGGUACUUACCGAUAUAAGACUGUGAAGUUGGCACUGGAUGCUCACCUGACGGCAGCAUGGAGUCCUGCCGCUUGCAGAAGUGUUGCAGAUAUACCUUUUUUUCUUGUUUUUAUAUUAUUUUAUAUAAUUUUUAUGUUCUGAUAAUUACAAUUUAUAGUAGUUCUUGUGAUUUCAUAGCCAAUCUUUGUUCUGACAUUAAUACAGUGGACCCCCGCAUAACGAUUACCUCCGAAUGUGACCAAUUAUGUAAGUGCAUUUGUACGUGUAUGUUUGGGGGUCUGAAAUGGACUAAUCUACUUCACAAUAUUUCUUAUGGGAACAAAUUCGGUCAGUACUGGCACCUGAACAUACUU
This is a long non-coding RNA of Cherax quadricarinatus, 9042 nucleotides long. RefSeq lists it as uncharacterized. The record is from RefSeq and is a predicted model, not a curated record. Lineage: Eukaryota; Metazoa; Arthropoda; Malacostraca; Decapoda; Parastacidae.